UCCCAUGUGGCUCAGUGGUAAAGAAUCUGCCUGUAAUGCAGGAGACCUGGGUUCGAUGCCUGGGUUGGGAA
Molecule: transfer RNA, 71 nt
Filed under: Bos taurus (domestic cattle)
Lineage: Eukaryota; Metazoa; Chordata; Mammalia; Artiodactyla; Bovidae
Also listed under: 3 other names
Rfam family: tRNA
About the family: Transfer RNA (tRNA) molecules are approximately 80 nucleotides in length. Their secondary structure includes four short double-helical elements and three loops (D, anti-codon, and T loops). Further hydrogen bonds mediate the characteristic L-shaped molecular structure. tRNAs have two regions of fundamental functional importance: the anti-codon, which is responsible for specific mRNA codon recognition, and the 3' end, to which the tRNAs corresponding amino acid is attached (by aminoacyl-tRNA synthetases). tRNAs cope with the degeneracy of the genetic code in two manners: having more than one tRNA (with a specific anti-codon) for a particular amino acid; and 'wobble' base-pairing, i.e. permitting non-standard base-pairing at the 3rd anti-codon position.
Source: Rfam by way of RNAcentral